UCACGCGGACCUUACCUGGGCUUGACAUGCACUGGAAACCAGUAGAGAUAUUGGCCCCCUUGUGGCCGGUGUACAGGUGGUGCAUGGCUGUCGUCAGCUCGUGUCGUGAGAUGUUGGGUUAAGUCCCGCAACGAGCGCAACCCUCGUUCCAUGUUGCCAGCGCGUUAUGGCGGGGACUCAUGGGAGACUGCCGGGGUCAACUCGGAGGAAGGUGGGGAUGACGUCAAGUCAUCAUGCCCCUUAUGUCCAGGGCUUCACACAUGCUACAAUGGCCGGUACAGAGGGCUGCGAAGCCGUGAGGUGGAGCGAAUCCCACAAAGCCGGUCUCAGUUCGGAUCGGGGUCUGCAACUCGACCCCGUGAAGUCGGAGUCGCUAGUAAUCGCAGAUCAGCAACGCUGCGGUGAAUACGUUCCCGGGCCUUGUACACACCGCCCGUCACGUCACGAAAGUCGGUAACACCCGAAGCCCGUGGCCCAACCCGUAAGGGGGGGAGCGGUCGAAGGUGGGAC
This 510-nucleotide ribosomal RNA is filed under the name uncultured bacterium. Its description in RNAcentral is "bacterial SSU rRNA". It matches the Rfam family "Bacterial small subunit ribosomal RNA", at positions 959 to 1468 of the family's 1533-position model. The record is from RNAcentral.